GUCUGAAUAGAAGCAAGAAGAAGAGUGCUGAUAAAAAUUCUUUGCGGUCGCCGCAAAAAGUGAUGAAUUAAUUGUUAAAAGUUAUGAUUAUUUAAGCCUUAGCCUACAAAAUAGCUAGUUUGUAAAAAAAAACAGAAUACUAAGCAAAAUGGAUGUUCAACCCCCAAGAGAUGCAAGUUUACGCAAUAUAAUUGAUAAAUUGGCCGAAUUUGUGGCACGCAAUGGACCCGAGUUCGAAGCAAUUACCAAACAAAAGCAACAGAAUAAUCCAAAGUUUGAAUUUCUCUAUGGCGGCGAAUUCGCCAGCUACUAUCAGUUCCGUGUGGCAGCGGAGCAGGCAAUGCUGAAACAACAGGGCGGCAUGCCCACAGGUGCGCUCUAUAUGCAACAACCGCCGCCAACUCACGCACACUACGCGACGCAACAGCCGACCAACAUGCACGACAAUGUCCAGGACAGCAUGCAGCAGGCGCAACAGAAAUCUCAGCAUAUCUGGCCGCCCAAUGCAGGCGCGAGUCCGGCAACCGGCCCAGGACCAGCGCCAGCGAAUCCCCAAUCAGCAAACGGCAGUGCGCUGGCCAUGAGCCUGGCCACACAAUUGGAUGCGAUCAAAAUCCAACAGAAUACGCUGCGGGAUCAGAUUAAACAAUCGGAUGCGAAUCUUUCCGCACAGCAUACGGCGCUGAUGACACAAAAGACAAAGCAAAUCGACGAUGCGAUGGCGGCGGCCCAGACGACACAGCUGGAGCAAUUGGCCAACGAGCAGGGCAUUGUGUUGCGGGAAUUCGAUGGUAUCCUGCAGCCGAUCAUUGAGUCCUGCACCAAGGACAGCAUCUCAGCAGGGCUUUGCUCAAUGGUUCAACGUUUCAGCAAAAAUUGCAUCUUAUAUAUUUAGUUAAUGAUAUACUCCAUCAUUGCAUGCGCAAAAAUAUCAGCGAUUUGAAGAACAGCCUCGAGAAUGUCGUAAUACCGAUGUUCUGCAGCGCGGACUUGAUUGCCAACAAUGAUCAGCGCCAGAAGUUGUCCAAGCUGUUGUCUCUGUGGGAAUCGAAGGCCAAGUUCUUUGAUGCGUGCGUCAUCUCCAAGCUGCAAUCGCCGGACUCAUCCAUGCAGGAGUACAAAACGAAUCUGCAGAACACGCAUCAUGAUAUUGUCGCCAAAUACACGCAGAGCACAAAGGCCACGCUGGACAACUACCAGAAACAGCAUCAGAUCUUUAUGCAACAUGCCACGCAGCAAAUAGCCCAGCUGGAGCAGCAGAAACUGCAGCUGGAGAAACAAAUUCUCGUUGCACAAAAGGCACAGCAGCAGCUUCAGCAGCAACAGCAACAGCAGCAGCAGCAAACGCCUGGCACGCCCCAAUCGAAGUCGAUACCUUCUCUGAUGGCGCAACGCAUUGCCAUGCCCGGCGCGGAUCAGGAGCAUAUGCACACGCCGCCGCCGCCAUCGUCGGCACACGAUCAUGCGCAGCCGGGCAACAACAUCUACGCGGGCUAUCAGCAGCAGUCGCAGCAGCAGGCGCCGCCGGGCAAUCACUAUGUGGAUGCACGCGGUCCAAACUUUUUCAUUCCGGA
This 1574-nucleotide unclassified non-coding RNA is filed under the name Drosophila virilis. RNAcentral's name for it is "GJ12853". Lineage: Eukaryota; Metazoa; Arthropoda; Insecta; Diptera; Drosophilidae. The record is from RNAcentral.